RNAcentral lists this transfer RNA (70 nucleotides) under Ecsenius bicolor (bicolor blenny). RNAcentral's name for it is "tRNA-Tyr". It matches the Rfam family "tRNA". From Rfam's summary of the family: Transfer RNA (tRNA) molecules are approximately 80 nucleotides in length. Their secondary structure includes four short double-helical elements and three loops (D, anti-codon, and T loops). Further hydrogen bonds mediate the characteristic L-shaped molecular structure. tRNAs have two regions of fundamental functional importance: the anti-codon, which is responsible for specific mRNA codon recognition, and the 3' end, to which the tRNAs corresponding amino acid is attached (by aminoacyl-tRNA synthetases). tRNAs cope with the degeneracy of the genetic code in two manners: having more than one tRNA (with a specific anti-codon) for a particular amino acid; and 'wobble' base-pairing, i.e. permitting non-standard base-pairing at the 3rd anti-codon position. Lineage: Eukaryota; Metazoa; Chordata; Actinopteri; Blenniiformes; Blenniidae. The record is from RNAcentral.
GGUAGAAUGGCCGAGGGUUAGGUGGUGGCUUGUAGCUCCAUGUACGGGGGUUCAAAUCCCCUUUCUACCA